RNAcentral lists this transfer RNA (90 nucleotides) under Sphingorhabdus sp. RNAcentral's name for it is "tRNA-Ser". It matches the Rfam family "tRNA". From Rfam's summary of the family: Transfer RNA (tRNA) molecules are approximately 80 nucleotides in length. Their secondary structure includes four short double-helical elements and three loops (D, anti-codon, and T loops). Lineage: Bacteria; Pseudomonadati; Pseudomonadota; Alphaproteobacteria; Sphingomonadales; Sphingorhabdaceae. The record is from RNAcentral. RNAcentral also lists the same sequence under 3 other names.
GGACAGAUGCCGGAGUGGUCGAACGGGGCGGUCUCGAAAACCGUUGUGCCAGUAAUGGUACCCAGGGUUCGAAUCCCUGUCUGUCCGCCA